Mustela erminea (ermine) is the source of this 3042-nucleotide RNA transcript. It is a transcript of the gene named ubiquitin associated and SH3 domain containing A, with no coding region annotated. The record is from RefSeq and is a predicted model, not a curated record. NCBI's taxonomy places the organism in Eukaryota, Metazoa, Chordata, Mammalia, Carnivora, Mustelidae. The transcript is spliced from 14 exons.
UCACUCUCUCUGACUUUAUCUAUUCAUUUCUGUCCGCAGGCAGGAAGAGAUGGCAGCCGCGGAGACUCAGCUCUACGCCAAGGUCUCCAACAAGCACAAGGGCCGCAGCACUGCCUCACUCUUGGACCCCCUCCUGGGAAUGGGCUUCCCGGCACAUACUGCGCUGAAGGCGUUGGCAGCUACGGGAAGAAAGACAGUGGAGGAGGCAUGUGACUGGCUACGUUGUCACCGCAACGACCCAUCUCUGGACGACCCCAUCCCCCAGGAGUACGCCCUCUUCCUCUGCCCCACGGGAACCCUGCUGGAAAAGCUGCAGGAGUUCUGGAGGGAGAGCAAGCGUCAGUGCACGAAGAACCGAGCCCACGAGGUCUUCCCUCACAUAACGCUCUGUGACUUCUUCACGUGCGAAGACCACAAGGUCGAGUGUCUGUAUGAGGCUCUGAAGAGAGCUGGGGACAGGAUCCUGGGUUCCUUCCCCGCGGUGCUCCCUCUGGUCCUGCACUCUUCCGUCAGCUAUCUGGGCUUCUUCGUGAACGACGGCCCCGCAGACGUCAUCCGGGAACUUGCCCUGACGUUCGCCACGGAAGCCUCUGUCUUGGCAGACUGCACUGUGAAGCCUUGCACCAAGCAGCUGCAUCUGACCUUGGCCCACAAGUUCUACCCCCACCACCAGAGGACGCUGGAGGAGCUGGCCAGAGCCAUCCACCCGGGUCACAGCUGCCAGUGGACCGCCGCGCUCUACUCCCGAGAUAUGCGCUUUGUGCACUACCAGACCCUCAGGGCCCUCUUCCAGUACAAACCUCAGAACGUGGACGAGCUGACGCUAAGCCCCGGCGACUACAUCUUUGUGGACCCCACUCAGCAGGAGGAGGCCAGCGAGGGCUGGGUGAUUGGGAUCUCCCAGCGGACGGGCUGCCAGGGCUUCCUGCCCGAGAACUACACGGAGCCAGCCGGCGAGUCAGACACCUGGGUUAAGCACAGGACUUACACCUUCAGCCUGGCCAUGGACCUGAUGUCCAGAAAGGACAGUGAGGCCAGCAGCCGGCGAAACGGGGAAGCCCACCCUUCACAGACAUCAAGGGACAUCAGCAGCAUCCAAGCUUUACAGGCCACGAUAGCGAGAAGGAGUGUUUUGGUGGUGCGCCAUGGGGAGAGAGUGGACCAAAUCUUCGGGAAGUCGUGGCUACAGCAGUGCUCCACUCCGGAUGGGAAAUACUACCGGCCGGACCUCAACUUCCCUUACAGUCUGCCCAGAAGGAGAAACGGAAUCAAAGACUUUGAGAACGACCCGCCCUUAUCAUCGUGUGGAAUAUUCCAGUCCAGGAUGGCAGGGGAAGCACUACUGGACAGUGGCAUCAGAGUGACCGCCGCCUUCACCUCCCCGGCCCUCCGCUGUGUGCAGACAGCCAGACACAUCCUGGAAGAGCUCAAACUGGAGAAGAGCAUCAAGAUCAGAGUGGAACCCGGGAUCUUCGAGUGGACGAAGUGGGAGUCGGGCAAAACCACCCCGGCUCUCAUGAGCCUGGACGAGCUGAAAGAGGCGAACUUCAACGUCAGCACGGAGUACAGGCCUGCGUUUCCCCUCGCGUCCCUCCUGCCGGCCGAGAGUUACGACGAGUACGUGGAAAGGUGCGCGGUGAGCGUGGGACGGAUUAUUAGCGCCUGCCCGCGGGAUGCAGGCGUCAUCCUGAUUGUGAGCCACGGCUCGGCGCUGGACUCCUGCACACGCCCGCUCCUUGGGCUGCCGCCCCGGGACAGUGGAGACUUUGCCCACUUAGUGAGAAAGGUACGUGCCUGCCCCUUUCUCUUCAGGCCAUGAAGUCAAGCCCUGGAGCCCACAGGCUCAUCACACUUCCUUCUCAGAAUGGAAACAGGGUCCAGGCCACCAAGGGCAGCAGGGACCACCCCACCCACCUGUUCUUCUGAGGGUGGGCACACCUGCUCUUCUGCACAGGGCAGCCCUGGGCAGGGACUGAUGGGAGCAGCUACCAUCUUUAUCAUCACUAGGGCAACUUUGGCCAUUUUCUGCCCACAUUGCUAUCAUUAUAUAUUGUUAUUAUUACAAAAACUAAGAUACGGUAAUGCCGUGCAGCUCCGGUAGCGGGUAUGAAUGGUCCAGCGGGGAGUAAGCCCUGUGGACACCAAGAGAAAAAACGAAGGCUGGCCUGGCUUGCUCUGGGACCCCAGGGGUGGGGGUGGGGGGCAGGAGACCAGAAAGGAAUCCCACCCUCUUCCUUUGGAGUCAGCCUGCCAUGGGCCCCACAGGACUCUCUGUAGCCCGAGUGCCUGGGGCUGGUCUGGGGCUCUGCAAACACUUGUAGGCAACCAACAUGUAAAGAAGGACAGUGGGUACUGGGGCUGGGCUGGGGCUCUGCAAACACUCAUAGGUAACCAACAUGUAGAGAAGGACCGUGGGUACCGGGACUGGGCUGGGGCUCUGCAAACACUUGCAGGUAACCAACAUGUAAAGAAGGACAGUGGGUACUGGGGCUGGGCUGGGGCUCUGCAAACACUCAUAGGUAACCAACAUGUAGAGAAGGACCGUGGGUACUGGGGCUGGGCUGGGGCUCUGCAAACACUUGCAGGUAACCAACAUGUAGAGAAGGAUAGUGGGUACCUUGCACCCGCCUGUUGACCAUCACUCGGCAACCCAGAGGCAGCUUUAUCCAUUGGUAAGAUGAACCCAGGCAGGCAAACUGGGGCUCAAACCCACCCCUGCUCUGGCCUGGAAGAUCUACUCAGAGCCAGACUUGCCCCCCAUCCGUGGCCUUUCCAUCAAAUGAAUCAGUUGACCGAUGACCUUGAGGCUAGGAGUGCAGUGUGUGGACAAUACCCGUGAUGGGAGACGGGUCCCUGAGCCGGUUCCUUGGUGCGAAAUUGUCACAGGACCGUGAGCAGCCACAGCUUGGCCCCAGAGGAGCAGACCCCAGGACCCCCCUGACAGCACCAGCUCUGAGCCUGUGCAAAGUCCCCGGCUUUCAGAGCCCGCCCUGCCCGCCUGGGAAAGCCCGGUCAAGCCCGGCCCUCCCUUGCGGUGGGGGU